UACGGGGGGGGCAAGCGUUGUUCGGAAUUACUGGGCGUAAAGGGUUCGUAGGUGGCCAACUAAGUCGGAUGUGAAAUCCCCAGGCUUAACCUGGGAAUGGCAUCCGAUACUGGAGGGCUUGAAUUCGGGAGAGGGAUGCAGAAUUCCAGGUGUAGCGGUGAAAUGCGUAGAUAUCUGGAGGAAUACCGGUGGCGAAGGCGGCAUCCUGGACCAAUACUGACGCUCAGGUGCGAAAGCGUGGGGAGCAAACAGG
This 253-nucleotide ribosomal RNA is filed under the name uncultured bacterium. RNAcentral's name for it is "partial 16S ribosomal RNA". It matches the Rfam family "Bacterial small subunit ribosomal RNA", at positions 524 to 776 of the family's 1533-position model. The record is from RNAcentral.